RNAcentral lists this small RNA (35 nucleotides) under Bombyx mori (domestic silkworm). RNAcentral describes it as "ovarian small RNA-14015". Lineage: Eukaryota; Metazoa; Arthropoda; Insecta; Lepidoptera; Bombycidae. The record is from RNAcentral.
CCUGAAAUAGGUAUGAUACCCUAUGCGUUCCUUGC